CAAGAAAUAGUUUAGUUAGAAUACCAGUUUUGGGUAUUGGUGGUGGGGUUUGUUACCUCUUUCUUGA
RNAcentral lists this transfer RNA (67 nucleotides) under Ctenomys sociabilis (social tuco-tuco). RNAcentral describes it as "tRNA-Pro". Lineage: Eukaryota; Metazoa; Chordata; Mammalia; Rodentia; Ctenomyidae. The record is from RNAcentral.